GGAGAGAAUAAGAAAAAUAAUUUUUGUAAUUUUAGUAAUUUUUAAUGAAAAUAAAGUAAAGACUAAAGAGAAAAGUACUGUGAAGGAAAGUUGUUAAAACUUUUUAUAGAAGAAGUAAAAUUUUGUGCCUCGUGUAUCAGAAAAAGUUUAUAUAGUUUAAUUACAAUAAGUAUCUCGAAAUAAAAUACAGUAAUUUUUAUAAAAUUUUCUUUUUAGAAAAAAAGAAUUUAAUAUAAAAUUUAAAGUGAAAUGCUAGCUGAGUUUUAUGAUAUCUAGUUUUUUUAAAAAUAAAUUUAAUUUAAUUUUUAUAAAGAAAAAGUUAUAAAAUUAAAUGGUAGGGGGGAUUAGCUCUUUACGGAAAAGAUAAUGAAAUAGUUAAAUAAAAGUAAAUUAUAUAUAAAUUAGGCUUAGAAGUAGCUAUAUUGAAAAAGUGUUUUAACUAAAUUAUAAUUGCUUGAAUAUUUAAAAUAAAACUUUUCUUAGGUAUAAAAAAAUGGCUUAAACAAAACAAAACAAGAUAUGAUGAUUUUAUUAGUAAAAUUUAUUGAGUAAAUAAAGAUAUUAAAAGGUAAAAAUUGUUUAAAAAAAUAAGUA
Molecule: ribosomal RNA, 594 nt
Filed under: Macrophthalmus banzai
Lineage: Eukaryota; Metazoa; Arthropoda; Malacostraca; Decapoda; Macrophthalmidae
Description: partial 16S ribosomal RNA
Source: RNAcentral